AACGAAUGCUGGCGGCAGGCCUAACACAUGCAAGUCGAGCGCCCCGCAAGGGGAGCGGCGGACGGGUGAGUACCGCGUGGGAAUAUGCCCUUUGCUACGGAAUAGUCUCGGGAAACUGGGGGUAAUACCGUAUACGCCCUUUGGGGGAAAGAUUUAUCGGCGAAGGAUUAGCCCGCGUUGGAUUAGGUAGUUGGUGGGGUAAUGGCCUACCAAGCCGACGAUCCAUAGCUGGUUUGAGAGGAUGAUCAGCCACACUGGGACUGAGACACGGCCCAGACUCCUACGGGAGGCAGCAGUGGGGAAUCUUAGACAAUGGGGGCAACCCUGAUCUAGCCAUGCCGCGUGAGUGAUGAAGGCCUUAGGGUUGUAAAGCUCUUUCAGCUGGGAAGAUAAUGACGGUACCAGCAGAAGAAGCCCCGGCUAACUCCGUG
This 431-nucleotide ribosomal RNA is filed under the name uncultured bacterium. RNAcentral describes it as "partial 16S ribosomal RNA". It matches the Rfam family "Bacterial small subunit ribosomal RNA", at positions 29 to 507 of the family's 1533-position model. The record is from RNAcentral.